UACGGAGGGUGCGAGCGUUUGUCCGGAAUCACUGGGCGUAAAGGGCGCGUAGGCGGCGCGGGCAGUCAACGGUGAAAGCUUGGGGCUCAACCCCGAGUCGGCCGUCGAUACUCCCGGGCUGGAGCACUGUAGAGGCAGGUGGAAUUCCGGGUGUAGCGGUGGAAUGCGUAGAGAGUCCGGAAGAACACCGGUGGCGAAGGCGGCCUGCUGG
This 211-nucleotide ribosomal RNA is filed under the name uncultured bacterium. Its description in RNAcentral is "partial 16S ribosomal RNA". It matches the Rfam family "Bacterial small subunit ribosomal RNA", at positions 524 to 732 of the family's 1533-position model. The record is from RNAcentral.